GACGAACGCUGGCGGCGCGCCUAACACAUGCAAGUCGAACGAGAGAGAGGGAGCUUGCUUCCUCGAUCGAGUGGCGAACGGGUGAGUAACGCGUGAGGAACCUGCCUCAAAGAGGGGGGACAACAGUUGGAAACGACUGCUAAUACCGCAUAAGCCCACGACCCGGCAUCGGGAAGAGGGAAAAGGAGCAAUCCGCUUUGAGAUGGCCUCGCGUCCGAUUAGCUAGUUGGUGAGGUAACGGCCCACCAAGGCGACGAUCGGUAGCCGGACUGAGAGGUUGAACGGCCACAUUGGGACUGAGACACGGCCCAAACUCCUACGGGAGGCAGCAGUGGGGAAUAUUGCACAAUGGGGGAAACCCUGAUGCAGCGACGCCGCGUGAGCGAAGAAGUAUUUCGGUAUGUAAAGCUCUGUCAGCAGGGAAGAUAAUGACGGUACCUGACCAAGAAGCCCCGGCUAACUACGUG
RNAcentral lists this ribosomal RNA (467 nucleotides) under uncultured bacterium. Its description in RNAcentral is "bacterial SSU rRNA". It matches the Rfam family "Bacterial small subunit ribosomal RNA", at positions 28 to 507 of the family's 1533-position model. The record is from RNAcentral.